RNAcentral lists this unclassified non-coding RNA (225 nucleotides) under Hevea brasiliensis (rubber tree). Lineage: Eukaryota; Viridiplantae; Streptophyta; Magnoliopsida; Malpighiales; Euphorbiaceae. The record is from RNAcentral.
GAACAACUAGUGAAGAGUCAGGUUUCCCAGGUAAUAUAUUACAUGGACAUGGUGUUCUAGAUGGGAAUAGUUCUUGUGAACACUGUCGGGCAAAUUUUCAUCGGUAUCAAACACACAUGGAACAAGCUAAUACGAUAAAUGGACUUCCCCCUGAAUACCCUCAGAAUAGAGAGGCCUUGAUGCAGAAGGCAGACAUGAAGUUCCAUCAUGGUAUUUUUCCAAAUG